CCUUUUGGCGAACGAUUUAUCGGAGAUGGAUGACCCCGCGUUGGAUUAGCUAGUUGGUGGGGUAAUGGCCUACCAAGGCGACGAUCCAUAGCUGGUCUGACAGGAUGAUCAGCCACACUGGGACUGAGACACCGCCCACACUCCUACGGGAGGCAGCAGUGGGGAAUAUUGGACAAUGGGCGCAAGCCUGAUCCAGCCAUGCCGCGUGAGUGAUGAAGGCCCUAGGGUUGUAAAGCUCUUUCAACGGUGAAAAUAAUGACGGUAACCGUAAAAGAAGCCCCGGCUAACUUCGUGCCACCACCCGCGGUAAUACAAAGGGGGCUAGCGUUGUUCGAAAUUACUGGGCGUAAACCGCACGUAGGCGGAUUGUUAAUUUAGGGGUGAAAUCCCAGGGUUCAACCCUGGAACUGCCUUUAAUACUGGCAAUCUCAAGUCCAACAGAGGUGAGUGGAAUUCCGAGUGUACAGGUGAAAUUCUUAGAUUUUCGGAGGAACACCAGUGGCCAAGGCGGCUCACUGUCUCGGUACUGACGCUGAGGUGCGAAAGCGUGGGGAGCACACAUGAUUAGAUACGUUGAUGGUGGACGCCGUAAACUAUCUAAGCUCUUCGUCCGCAAGUUUAUUUGGCAGUGGAGCAUCUAACGCAUUAAGUUAUCCGCCUGGG
RNAcentral lists this ribosomal RNA (663 nucleotides) under Mesorhizobium sp. Its description in RNAcentral is "bacterial SSU rRNA". It matches the Rfam family "Bacterial small subunit ribosomal RNA", at positions 193 to 877 of the family's 1533-position model. The record is from RNAcentral. Lineage: Bacteria; Pseudomonadati; Pseudomonadota; Alphaproteobacteria; Hyphomicrobiales; Phyllobacteriaceae.